UGGGGAAUUGUUCGCAAUGGGCGCAAGCCUGACGACGCAACGCCGCGUGGAGGACGAAGACCUUCGGGUCGUAAACUCCUUUCGAUCGGGAAGAAUGGCUCCGGGGUUAAUAGCCCCGGAGAAUGACGGUACCCCCAAAGGAAGCACCGGCUAACUCUGUGCCAGCAGCCGCGGUAAUACAGAGGGUGCAAGCGUUGUCCGGAAUUACUGGGCGUAAAGGGCGCGUAGGCGGCUUGAUAAGUAGGAGGUGAAAUUCCAUGGCUCAACCAUGGAUCGGCCUUCUAGACUGUCAGGCUUGAGCACGGUAGAGGCAGAUGGAAUUCCCGGUGUAGCGGUGGAAUGCGUAGAGAUCGGGAAGAACACCAGUGGCGAAGGCGGUCUGCUGGGCCGUUGCUGACGCUGAGGCGCGACAGCGUGGGGAGCAAA
RNAcentral lists this ribosomal RNA (426 nucleotides) under uncultured bacterium. RNAcentral's name for it is "bacterial SSU rRNA". It matches the Rfam family "Bacterial small subunit ribosomal RNA", at positions 355 to 772 of the family's 1533-position model. The record is from RNAcentral.